Molecule: ribosomal RNA, 766 nt
Filed under: uncultured bacterium
Lineage: Bacteria
Description: bacterial SSU rRNA
Rfam family: Bacterial small subunit ribosomal RNA
Source: RNAcentral
CCCUUAGAGUUUGAUCCUGGCUCAGAUUGAACGCUGGCGGCAGGCCUAACACAUGCAAGUCGAGCGGUAGAGAGAAGCUUGCUUCUCUUGAGAGCGGCGGACGGGUGAGUAAUGCCUAGGAAUCUGCCUAGUGGUGGGGGAUAACGUUCGGAAACGGACGCUAAUACCGCAUACGUCCUACGGGAGAAAGCGGGGGACCUUCGGGCCUCGCGCCAUUAGAUGAGCCUAGGUCGGAUUAGCUAGUUGGUGAGGUAAUGGCUCACCAAGGCGACGAUCCGUAACUGGUCUGAGAGGAUGAUCAGUCACACUGGAACUGAGACACGGUCCAGACUCCUACGGGAGGCAGCAGUGGGGAAUAUUGGACAAUGGGCGAAAGCCUGAUCCAGCCAUGCCGCGUGUGUGAAGAAGGUCUUCGGAUUGUAAAGCACUUUAAGUUGGGAGGAAGGGUAGUAACUUAAUACGUUGCUACUUUGACGUUACCGACAGAAUAAGCACCGGCUAACUUCGUGCCAGCAGCCGCGGUAAUACGAAGGGUGCAAGCGUUAAUCGGAAUUACUGGGCGUAAAGCGCGCGUAGGUGGUUCAGUAAGUUGGAAGUGAAAUCCCCGGGCUCAACCUGGGAACUGCUUUCAAAACUGCUGAGCUAGAGUACGGUAGAGGGUGGUGGAAUUUCCUGUGUAGCGGUGAAAUGCGUAGAUAUAGGAAGGAACACCAGUGGCGAAGCGACCACCUGGACUGAUACUGACACUGAGUGCGAAGCGUGGGGA